GGUUUUCGGUUUGUUCUUUCGGAUUCCUUGCUUCGCUCUAUCUUUUCGCGGCGGAGCUUUGCACAUUUGCUCUUUUGCUUUUCUUUGUGUAUCUCUUUGAGAAAGUUUGUGGGUUCGAGGCUUGGAGUGGAGCGGCGUGGCAGUCGCGAGAUCGGGCGGCGGUACGCACGGAUCUGUGACUCCCUUCUGAGCCCCCUCUCUGAACUCCGAACACUCCUCGACCAAAAAGACGCUCGACCGACUUCGCUCUUCAACGUAGGUCAGGAGACCCUACUAAAUCAGCAAGAUGACGGAAGCCGAAAUGCUCAUGGAGGAGAAACUCCGCAAAAAGAAGGAGGAGGAGGAGGAAAUGUGGGCUGAGUACUUGGAGCAGCGCAAGAAACAACGCGCCAAGGAGGAGGAAGAGCUACGAAAAUUAAAGGAACGGCAGGCCAAGCGUAAAUUACAGCGUGCUGAACAAGAAAGCAAGAUGAACGAAUACAAGAGGAAGCAAGAAGAACAACGAAUUCGAGAAAUGGAAGAGAAGAAAUCCCGAGAGGCCGAAGCGAAGCGGAAGCGUCUCGAGGAAGCCGAGAAGAAGAGGCAGGCCAUGCAGGCGGCCAAGGAGAAGAGGGAGCAGGAACCCGUCAAGCCCAACUUUGUUAUCAGCAAGCGCGAGGGAGACGAAAUGGGCUCGGCGCUGGGAAGCUCCGGCUUGGACAAGUUUGCCAACAUCAUGUACGCCCGCGGCGAGAUGGGCAAGACCAAGGAGCAGAUGGAGGAGGACAAGAAGGCCAUCCUGUCCUUCCGUGUGAAGCCUUUGGAGAUUGAGGGCCUGACCGUCGAGCAGCUGCGGGACAUGGCCAAGAAGCUCUGGGAGAAGGUGGUCGCCCUCGAGUCCGACAAGUACGACCUUGAGGAGCGCCAGAAAAGGCAGGACUACGACCUGAAGGAGUUGGCUGAGCGUCAGAGGCAAAUCAACCGGAGCAGAGCACUGAAGAAAGGUCUCGACCCUGAGGCUCUGCAGGGAAAGCACCCGCCCAAGAUUCAGGUGUCGAGCAAGUACGAGCGCCGACUGGACCGGCGAUCCUUUGAGGACAAGCGGGAACUGUACGACGGCGUGAGUAAGGGUGUCGUGUUGCUCAUGGUGUCGUGCCGUGCUUUUCUCUCUCUCUCUCUCUUUCUGUCCCCUCCUCCUCGUCGUCGUCGUCUUCACUGCCGUGACGUCGCUUCCGGUGUUGCUCAAUCCGUGGCCGCUGUGACGUCACUGCCGGUGUCGCUUCGAUCCGCCAGCCCAAGAUUCAGGUUGCCAGCAAAUACGAGCGAAGGACAGACCGACGUACCUUCGUUGACAAGCGUGACCUGUUCUCCGGUGGUCUGGAAGCCAUGACGGACGCCGAGAUGGAGAAGAUGUGGGAGGACAAGAUGAACAGCUUCAAGGAGCAGUCCCGCGGACAGCUGCCCAAGUGGGACCCCGAGAACCCUAAGAACAAGCAGGUGAGCCACAUCCGUCGUCUGGAAGAAGAGGACGACGACGAAGAGCUCGUGCCUGUCUUCGAGCCCCCCAAGCCGGAGCCCCCCAAGCCCGCCGCCCCGCCGCCGAAGCCCGCCCAGCAGCAGGAAGAGGAAGAAGAAGAGGAAGAGGAGGAAGAGGAAGAGGAGGAAGAGGAAGAAGAGGAAGAAGAGGAGGAGGAAGAGGAGGAAGAGGAAGAAGAGGAAGAGUAAAUCAAGGAGUCAAAAAAAUCCAACUCUUCACGACGAACAACUCUGUCAAGCUCUGAGGUCGAUGACUUCCGGUCAUUUUAAGAAACGAGCGAGACAAACGAAAACAAUAAAGCAUGUUUAAACUCUAAAAUCAAAAAGAGCCCUUUGCAAUGUUGCUUCCAACAAAGACAAGAAGAGUGCUGAUGUAAUAAUAAAAGCAAUGAGCUCUGGGUACUUAUUUCUAACGGACUAUAAUGUUCAUUGUGAUGGAUCCGUUUAACAUUCUUUUUGUUCGGUGCUUCUUGGAGGCCGGUGUUUUAUUCUAUGUGACAUGCGAGCUGGCCGUGUUUUUAUAUUAUAAACAUUGGUUGCAUGCUUCGUUUGUUUUGUUGAGUUGACAUCCUGUUUGAUAUUAUCAUUGUCCAAGUUGAAGCCACAGUAAAUGGGCUAAAGAAAUAAACUGUUUUAAAAAUUACUAA
Ixodes scapularis (black-legged tick) is the source of this 2162-nucleotide RNA transcript. It is a transcript of the gene named troponin T, skeletal muscle, with no coding region annotated. The transcript has 11 exons. NCBI's taxonomy places the organism in Eukaryota, Metazoa, Arthropoda, Arachnida, Ixodida, Ixodidae. The record is from RefSeq and is a predicted model, not a curated record.